UACGGGGGCAGCAGUGGGGAAUAUUGCACAAUGGGGGAAACCCUGAUGCAGCGACGCCGCGUGAGUGAAGAAGUACUUCGGUACGUAAAGCUCUAUCAGCAGGGAAGAAGAUGACGGUACCUGACUAAGAAGCCCCGGCUAACUACGUGCCAGCAGCCGCGGUAAU
Molecule: ribosomal RNA, 166 nt
Filed under: uncultured bacterium
Lineage: Bacteria
Description: partial 16S ribosomal RNA
Rfam family: Bacterial small subunit ribosomal RNA
Source: RNAcentral